RNAcentral lists this ribosomal RNA (1377 nucleotides) under uncultured bacterium. RNAcentral's name for it is "bacterial SSU rRNA". It matches the Rfam family "Bacterial small subunit ribosomal RNA". The record is from RNAcentral.
AGAGUUUGAUCAUGGCUCAGGAUGAACGCUGGCGGCGUGCAUAACACAUUCAAGUCGAACGAAGUUAAGCGAGUAGUAAUACGAGCUUAACUUAGUGGCGGACGGGUGAGUAACGCGUGAGCAACCUGCCUUUGUGAGGGGGAUAACGUUUGGAAACGAACGCUAAUACCGCAUGAAGCAUAUGAGAUCGCAUGGUCUUAAUGCCAAAGAAUUAUCGCACAAAGAUGGGCUCGCGUCUGAUUAGAUAGUUGGUGGGGUAACGGCCUACCAAGUCGACGAUCAGUAGCCGGACUGAGAGGUUGAACGGCCACAUUGGAACUGAGAUACGGUCCAGACUCCUACGGGAGGCAGCAGUGGGGAAUAUUGGGCAAUGGGCGAAAGCCUGACCCAGCGACGCCGCGUGAGGGAAGAAGUCCUUCGGGAUGUAAACCUUAGUCGACAGGGACGAAGCAAUGACGGUACCUGUAGAGGAAGCCACGGCUAACUACGUGCCAGCAGCCGCGGUAAUACGUAGGUGGCGAGCGUUAUCCGGAUUUACUGGGUGUAAAGGGUGUGUAGGCGGGAAGGCAAGUCAGAUGUGAAAACUAUGGGCUCAACUCAUAGCCUGCAUUUGAAACUGUUUUUCUUGAGUGGAGUAGAGGUAAGCGGAAUUCCGAGUGUAGCGGUGAAAUGCGUAGAGAUUCGGAGGAACACCAGUGGCGAAGGCGGCUUACUGGGCUCUAACUGACGCUGAGGCUCGAAAGUGUGGGGAGCAAACAGGAUUAGAUACCCUGGUAGUCCACACUGUAAACGAUGAUUACUAGGUGUGGGAGGUCUGACCCCUUCCGUGCCGCAGUUAACGCAAUAAGUAAUCCACCUGGGGAGUACGACCGCAAGGUUGAAACUCAAAGGAAUUGACGGGGGCCCGCACAAGCAGUGGAUUAUGUGGUUUAAUUCGAAGCAACGCGAAGAACCUUACCAGGUCUUGACAUCCAACUAACGAGAUAGAGAUAUGUUAGGUGCCCUUCGGGGAAAGUUGAGACAGGUGGUGCAUGGUUGUCGUCAGCUCGUGUCGUGAGGUGUUGGGUUAAGUCCCGCAACGAGCGCAACCCCUGCCAUUAGUUGCUACGCAAGAGCACUCUAAUGGGACCGCUACCGACAAGGUGGAGGAAGGUGGGGACGACGUCAAAUCAUCAUGCCCCUUAUGACCUGGGCUACACACGUAAUACAAUGGCCGUUAACAGAAGGAAGCGAAGGCGCGAGCCGGAGCAAACCCCCAAAAACGGUCUCAGUUCGGAUUGCAGGCUGCAACUCGCCUGUAUGAAGUCGGAAUUGCUAGUAAUCGCGGAUCAGCAUGCCGCGGUGAAUACGUUCCCGGGCCUUGUACACACCGCCCGU